RNA transcript from Eucalyptus grandis, 2474 nucleotides. RefSeq lists it as uncharacterized. NCBI's taxonomy places the organism in Eukaryota, Viridiplantae, Streptophyta, Magnoliopsida, Myrtales, Myrtaceae. The record is from RefSeq and is a predicted model, not a curated record. The transcript has 5 exons.
UGGCCGCCUUACCCACGGAUAUGAGUAAUGUCCUUCCUCGACUCGAUUUUCUUUCGCUCUGGUGCCCUAAUCUGCGUUGCCUCUCGAGCCUUCCCUCCAGUCUACGUUUCUUAGCUUUGCGCGAGUACAAGUCGGGUGGUUCCAUGGAGGGUGAGGAUCUAUCAAAUUUGAAGACACUAAGAUCUCUUGACAUCUAUGGCUGUGCAUUCUCAGAGAUUCGAGGCCUUGAUCGUUUGGAGAACCUAGAACAAUUGCACCUUAUAAUAUUUGAUUGUGGUAAUCUGGUUGAGAUUCAAGGCGGACUCCCACCAUCUUUAUAUAAUUGAGAUUCAGGAAUGUGGAUCUUUACAGAAUUUGCCUGAUCUGUCAAGCUUGAAGGAACUGCGAGAAGUUUACAUAAGGGGUUGCUGCAAAUUAAAUGUGGAGGCAAUUUCUUCGUUUUGCUCGGAGAAGGGGGUCAAAUUUAAGGGAGACAAGACGAAUCAGAGGGAGAAGACGGCGCAUCUGGAUGCGAAUUCGGAUAUGGAUCUGAGAGAGAAGACCGACAGAUAAGUGCACGUCGCUCUUGAAAUCCUCUUGAUCCCUUACCACAAAUCGUUCUCUUGUGCGCGAACUUCAAACGAAUUGAGGUAAGUCCUUUCUUCUGGCAACCAAUAUUUUCCUUUUUUUGCAAUCGAUCUCUUUCACGGAUAUUAACUGGGAAGCCUCACAUGCACUUUUUAAUGACCUUUUCGCGAGCUGACAUCUGUAAAUCUGAUGAAGGCAUUGAAAUUAUGGUACCUCCAUUUGGGUUUGGUUUCUCCUUGGUUUUAUGUUUCCUAGCUGGAGUUAUGCAUCUCGAUUGCAUCGUUUUUAUUUGAUACAUAACGAAUUAUUAGAGAUCUUUGUCGAUUUGCUGUUUCCCAUAUAUUGAAGUCGAUAACCUCGCUUCGCAUUUGAGAUGACUUUGUUAUGCUGCAAACAAUUAGAUGGAAUGUGUGCUGGAAGGUCAUAUAAGUAUGAUUCUCAUCUUGUCAAUUUACAGUAUAACCAACUCAUUGUUGCAACUAUGAAGUAGACAGACCCUCUUUGCUAAUAUGCUUAUGUUCAGAUAUUUUCCUGGAAAGGUGUGCUUCUUCUUACUGGGAUUUGCAAAUGCUAGGGAGAAGUUAUAAAAUGAAGAAAGAUGAAUUUCACUUGGGUAGCGGCGUCAAUAGUUGGUGCAGCAUAAUUUCCAUCUGUGACAGGGGAGAACUAUUUAGCUUCUCCAAGGGAGCUGUGGCUAAUAAGGUAGUUGUACGAAUGAAGACCAAAUAAAGGAAAAUGAAGAUGACAUUCAAAGUGAAGUUUUUGUUCACUUUUUUGUGAGUUGAGCCUAGAAAUCUGAAGAAGGUAUCAAAAUUAUGGUACCUCCAUACAACCAGAGGGUUCUUAAUUUUGUACAAAUUUUAUUUUCCAGGAAAGGGUGAGGUUCUUAGUGGGAUUUCCAAAUGUUAUGGAGAAGUUGUAAAAUGAAGAAAGAGGAUUUUGCACUUGGGCAACAAAGCUUCCAUCUGUGACAGGAGAGGAGAACUAUCUAGCUUCUCCAAAGGAGUUGUGGCUAAUUGGGCGGCUGUAUAGAUGGAGACCAAAGAAAGGCAGAUGAUGGAUGAAAUUUGAUGUUGACCGUGUUCCCUCUCACAAUCUCGGGGUGAAUAACUCAUCUCCAAUAUCCUCAACAGGAAAUUGACAGAAAUAAGUAAUGUUGAUGAAGGGAUCAAGACAAUUAAAGAUAGGCUUUUUAGUAAAGGAGUUCUCAUCCUUUUUGAUGAUGUUGACCAGAAGAAUUAAUUGAAUGCACUCAUGGGACAUCAGUGAUAUUCGAGCAUUACUGAUUCUUCAAUGCUGAAUAUCAAGCACAAACGGAUCUUGAAAUUCUCUGUACUUUUUGUUUGUCAUUGAAUAUUAGUGCUUUUUGUUGAUCGAAGGCACUGCCAUCCUUAAUGUGAGUUGAUCGGGUUGAAAUACUUUGCAGAAAGGGACAUGUGCGAUCCCUCUUAUCUGGUCCAAAUGAUGCAAUGUCUGGCAUCGCUUAGAAGAUACAACCAUUUCUUGAAAAAUUUAGAAGCCAUGCUCAGGAGAGGAGUUCAUUUUCCAAUAAGAAGUGCAUGUUGUACUUGAAAGGUCCUGCAUCCACAACCAAGUCUAUUGUCAAGGAAGAUUUGAAAGUUAAACAAAUUUCUUGUUGACCUAUGUCAUCUCACCAGAUAUUGAUUGUUGUCUUUCUUGGGAUCGUUAUCUGUUAUACAUAAAUUACAAUCACACUUUGGCAAGUUGACUUGAAAGCUAUUGUGAUUGUACAUAUAGUUAUCACUAGUUGUUUUUGCAACUGUUUCCUAUCUUUAAGAUGGAUUGCUGUAAGCUGCUCAUGAAAAGGGACCAUGGUUUCUUUUGAUCAAUUUCAUGAGUUUGAUUUGGUUUAAAUAUAUUACUUUGUGACGGUUUUGGUUGGCUAA